Molecule: ribosomal RNA, 252 nt
Filed under: uncultured bacterium
Lineage: Bacteria
Description: partial 16S ribosomal RNA
Rfam family: Bacterial small subunit ribosomal RNA
Source: RNAcentral
UACGUAGGGGGCAAGCGUUGUCCGGAAUUAUUGGGCGUAAAGCGCGCGCAGGCGGCUGUUUAAGUCUGGUGUUUAAACCUUGGGCUCAACCUGGGGUCGCACUGGAAACUGGAUGGCUUGAGUACAGAAGAGGAAAGUGGAAUUCCACGUGUAGCGGUGAAAUGCGUAGAGAUCCGGAGGAACACCAGAGGCGAAGGCGGCCGACUAGACCUGACCUGACGCUGAGGCGCGAAGGCGUGGGGAGCGAACGGG